Diceros bicornis minor is the source of this 6451-nucleotide RNA transcript. It is a transcript of the gene named period circadian regulator 3, with no coding region annotated. The record is from RefSeq and is a predicted model, not a curated record. The transcript is spliced from 22 exons. Lineage: Eukaryota; Metazoa; Chordata; Mammalia; Perissodactyla; Rhinocerotidae.
CCUACUCUGCGCUCUGGGCCGGCGGCCGGGCGUCGCCGGGGGCGGACCUGGGGUCCCCGGAACUUUGUGCCUGAAGUUGCCGCCGUCGCCGGGUCCCGUGUCUGGGGCACGCCGCCUCUGCAGAGCUGCCGGUGGGCGAGUCGGUGAAUCGGAGUCUGGCCUUGUGAGCCCCGGACUGAGGGUCCUCCGCGGGGCUGCCCCGCUGGCGAGCCACUGCCUGGUUUCCGGCAUCAGGUUGUCAGCGUCUCUUGACACUUGUCACCUUUGUCUCCCCCCUGCCCCAAGGCUGGCGCUCCCGUGAGUGGAGACGUCCAAGACCGUAUGGAAAUUCCAGGAGAGAGAGGUGCCUCCGGAUGAGCAGAGAUCAGGAAUUGCCGGUUUGUGAUGACCGAUGAUUCUCUCUAAGGCGAUGGCGUGGACCAGAAUGAGAAAUAAAUUUCCGUCGCUGAUUGCAAAGUGAAAAAGAAGCAGGCGACAGACUGAGACUGCCAAGCGGAAGAUGGACCCUUGUGAAGAUCUGGCAUUGCCCAGCAGUAAGCUCCACGACUCCAGGGGCCGUGAGCCCAGUGAACUUGAAGGAGCACAGGCCGGGGCUCCUGAGGCCCUGGGGAAAGAAUCUGGCAAGAUGUGGAGCCGGAAAUACCAGCUGCAGAGCAGAAACGUGGAGAGCAGCAACAGUGAACGGCAAGAUCGAAACAGAGUUUCUGAAGAACUUAGAAUGGUUGUCCAAGAAAUGAAAAAGUACUUCCCGUCAGAGAGACACAAUAAACCAAGCACCCUAGAUGCCCUCAACUAUGCCCUUCGCUGUGUGCAUAGAGUACAAGCCAACAGUGAGUUUUUCCAGAUUCUCAGUCACAACGGAGCACCUCAAGCAGAUGUGACCGUGUACAGUCUUGAAGAGCUGGCCACUGUUGCUUCAGAACACACUUCCAAAAACACGGAUACCUUUGUGGCAGUUUUUUCAUUUCUGUCUGGAAGGUUCGUGCACAUUUCUGAACAGGCUGCUUCGAUCCUGAAUUGUAAGAAAGAUUUCUUGGAGUCCUCUCAUUUUGUUGAGCUGCUUGCCCCUCAAGAUGUGAGGGUGUUCUACACACACACUGCCCAUGCUCAGCUUCCCUUCUGGAACAACUGGACCCAAAGAGCAGCAUCACAGUGUGAAUACGCUCCAGUGAAAUCCUUCUUCUGCCGGAUCCGUGGAGGAGGAGACAGAGGGCAAGAGAAGCAUUCCUCCCCGUUUCGGAUCAUCCCCUAUUUGAUUCACGUACACAGCUCUGCCCACCUGGAACCUGAGCCCUGCUGUCUCACGCUGGUCGAGAAGAUUCACUCUGGCUACGAAGCUCCCCGAAUCCCAGUGGAUAAAAGAAUUUUUACCACAACACACACCCCAGGGUGUGUUUUUCUUGAAAUAGAGGAAAGAGCCGUGCCUUUGCUGGGUUACCUACCUCAGGAUCUGAUUGGAACAUCUGUCUUAAUGUAUUUGCACCCGGAGGACCGUUCUCUGAUGGUUGCCAUACACCAGAAAGUCUUGAAGUAUGCAGGCCAUCCUCCCUUUGAACAUUCACCUAUUAGAUUUUGUACUCAAAAUGGAGAUUACAUCAUAUUGGAUUCCAGCUGGUCCAGCUUUGUGAACCCGUGGAGCCGGAAGGUUUCUUUCAUCAUUGGUCGGCAUAAAGUCCGAACGAGUCCACUAAAUGAGGAUGUUUUUGCUACCAGAAUAAAAAAGAUGAACAGUAAUGACAAAGACGUAACAGAAUUACAAGAACAAAUUCACAAACUUCUCUUACAGCCGGUUCACGUGAGUGCCUCCAGCGGCUACGGAAGCCUGGCGAGCAGUGGUUCUCAGGAGCACCACAUCAGCGUAGCAUCUUCCAGCGAGUCCAGUGGGCACUGUGCAGAGGAGAUACAGAAGGAACCGUUGACUUUGCAGCAGGUGUAUGCCAGUGUAAACAAAAUUAAGAACCUAGGUCAGCAGCUCUACAUCGAGUCAAUGACCAAAUCACCAGAUAAGCAAGUGAUGCGGACGCGCACAGGGCGGCUUGGUGGUGAGCAGAAGGCCUUUUCUUCCUUCCAGACACUGAAAAAUAAUAGCAAGUACAGUGAGUCUUGUGAGGAUUUGAGAAAAGAUCAGCAUAGCCCAUCCUAUCAGCAGAUCAACUGUAUUGAUAGUGUUAUCAGAUACCUGAAGAGCUACAACAUUCCAGCUCUGAAAAGAAAGUGUAUAUCCUGUACAAACACAGCUUCUUCGUCCUCAGAGGAAGACAGACAAAACCACACGGCAGAUGAUGUCCAAGCAUUGCAAGCUGUUUCUCAGAUCCCAGCCAUACCUAAAUCGGAAAUGCCCACUGAUGGACAGUCCAUGGACGCUGAAGCAGGAGCUCCCCGGACCCUGUCCACGGCAGCACUGAGCCUGGGUUCUGGCAUCAGCCAGUGCAGUUACAGCAGCACCAUUGUUCACUUCCCGCCCCCGGAGUCAGCAGAAGUGACUCCCGCAGAGGAUCACACCCGAGCCUCUGAGCCCUGGACUCUAAGCAAACACCCAGCUCCACCGACCUCAGAGGAGCUUAAACACGUAGGGCUCACUAAGGCUGUGCUGUCAGCCCACACGCGGAAGGAGGAGCAGAAUUACGUCGGUAAAUUCCGGGAGAAGAUGCUGUCAUUGCCCUACAGCUCCUAUCUUCAGCAAGGAAGUAGAAGCAAAGCUGAAUAUUCAUAUGUUCAAGGAGAUUCCGCUUCCAAGCAGAGCAGGUCAGCUGGUUUCCGGAAGGGGAUGCACAAGCGGAAGAAGCGCCCUGUGCCAUCAGACAGCAGGAGCUCUAAGGGCACCUCCCAUCCCCACUUUAGGGGAGAGGUCCGGAACGUACAGCCCUGGUUCCCUGCCCCUGCCUCCUCUCCUCACGCCUCUGGCCUGUCCUUCCCGGCUGCAGUGAUGGUUCCCAGCCAGGCCCCUUAUCUUGUACCAGCUUUUCCCCUCCCAACCGUGAGCCCUCAGGGAAAAGAACACACAGCCUCGGUCACUGCAGUGCAGUGUCCGCCUGAGCCGCUCCUAUCCAAUGGCUUGCAGUCUCUUCCAGCUCUCCCGCCUCCUUACUUAGACACUUUUAUGACCAUUUUCCUGCGUGACCCCCUUAUGUGUCCUCUGUUGUCACCAUCACUCUCCCCAUAUCCAUUUUUGGGAGCAACAGGCUCUUCUGAAAUACCACCGUUGGUAUCAGCAGUGGCUCCAAACCUGGAACCACCAUCUUCAGUCAUCGACCAAAGGAGAGGCGAGGAGAAGUGGGAGACACAGAGUGGAGAGCACCGGUUCACUAGCUCGAGAAGCAGCUCACCGCUGCAGCUGACCUUACUUCAGGAAGACCCGCCCAGGUCCUGGGAGUCUUCAGACCAGAUGAGAGGGGAUGUUUGCCCAGAAGCUGAGUAUCAGUGUGUUACAGGCGACAGUGGGAACAGGAGCAGUCGUUUUCCCGCCAGUGAACCGUCCAUGGUGUUACUUCCCCAGGAGUCUCCGCCUGGAACUAGUUCUGCAGCAUCAGGAAGCAGUGACAGCAGUGUAUGCUUUGCUACUAGUGAUUUUCCUUCUGAGAUCACCCCAAAUGGGCAGCAGUCUCAGGAUGUACAGAGAAAAGAAACAUUUCCCAGUGUAGCUGAAGAGGCCAUCUGGAGAAUGAUAAAACAAACACCUGAGUGCAUUCUAAUGACAUACCAGGUGCCUAACAGGGUUAAAGAAAUUGUACUGGAAGAAGACCUAGAAAAGCUAGAAAGCAUGAGGCAGCAACAGCCACAGUUUUCUCACGGACAGAGGGAGGAGCUGGCCACGGUGCAUUCUUGGAUUCAGAGCCAGACUGUCCCUCAGGAAAUAGACCUCCAGGGCUGUGUCUCUUGCAAAAACAAAGAUUCAGUUGGUGAUGCUACAGGGUCCUGUGACCAAGAGCCAGCACAAGACAGCAGUUGAGCGACCAUGGAGAUGUGCCUGCACACCCUUCCCAGGACCUGCUGGACAGCUAGACCUCUGAAAAACACUUCCUCCUCUCAAGUUUUAUAGCUUUUUAUAAAAAUGCGUUCUGAUGAUAAUUAAGAGAAUCGACCUUUUUAUCCACGGUGACUGCUGGACCCUGAUUCUCAAUCCUCAUAGUUUAGAUUUCCUUUCUAAAGUAGUAGUUUCCUGGAAGGUAAUUCUGUCUUAAGGUGUCAGAACCAUUUUCAGAUGCUGCCUGUGACAUUUAUUGGAAUUUUCUAAUAUUGAGCAGUUCCAUGCAAAUAUUCGUCUUUUGAGAAUAGACAGCUCUCACAGUCUACUCCAUCUUGACUAUUACAUGCUUUCUGAUGCCUUUGUUGUGUUGGUCAAGUCGUGUGGUAUUUUUGCCCUUGGUGAGAAACUAAAUUUCAAAAAAUUAACCAUCCUGAAUAUUGUCCAUCGGUGUAAUCAUUGUGUCUAUCUGUAGUGAUAAAAUUUUUAAUUUCUGUAAAUCAGAAAUGACAUGUAACUAUCAAAGGAUCAUUCUGCAUUCCUGUUUGCAUUUUUUAAACCUUGUGUUCUCUAAUAAUAUAUGUCCUUAUUUUCCAUUCUUUCUGGAUAUUUGUUUUAUCUAAAUUUGCUCAUUUCUUUGCCUUAGUACACAUUUUAUGGCGUGUGUAUUAGCCUAGGCUUGAUUUGAAAGUGGUGCUUGUUGUAGGCAGACCUGUAAAACCAUUUAUGAUUCUCGUAUUGGUAAUUAGAUUAGUUGGUGUGUUUAGAGACUGGACACAAUGCUCCUGCUGCUGAGGGUGACUGGAGGAAGCUCAGCAGUGACAGCAGCCGCCCCCCAAGGGGGCUUCACCAGAUUGUAACCUUUGUUGUUCACGUUUAUUAACUUUUGUAUUAAUGACUAUAGAAAUUGGUAAUAGAAAUGUAUAUUAUUGGCCUCAGUAUUUGCAAAACUGUUACCCAAAAGGCUGUAUUUUUCUUGGAUAAGAGGUUAGGAUUUGUGAAAAAGAGAAAGCUGUGUGAAUGGAAUCAUUUUGCAAUUAAGUGAAAACUUCAUUAUAAUUCACAAGGUAAAUUUAAUCCAAAUUGAAAUUUUGUUUCAACUGAAUUUAUAAUUAAUUGUGUGAAUCUACUUGUUUUUAAUGGUUAUUAAUAUUUUAAUUGGGUAUCUUUUUUUAAGUAAAAACAACAAAUAAACUGUAUAUAUGUAAAACCUAAGAAAUUUUCUCAGUGACACCUUGUGUUGCCUUGUCACCUGUGCCCAAGCUCCCGCUGUGUGGACGAUACUGGCGUUUUCAGGUUCAUUAUCUUAUUGAAUUCUCACUUCAGCACCGUGAAGUGCUGAAUUUAUUGGCUCCUGAGCGUAUGUACAUAUUUUCAGUACUGAUUUUAAUGCCUAAUUUAUAAAAUUCAGUUAACAAAAUUACUCUUUCCUAUUCUGUAGAGUGAACCUGUGUUUCACAAGUCUGUGUAAUAGACAGCAACAGAAUCCAAAAAUUAAAAUAUGGAAGAAGAUCCUGAAGCCAACAGGACUUUUUUGUGUGUGUGUGUGAGGAAGAUCAGCCCUGAGCUAACAUCUAUUGCCAAUCCUCCUUUUUUUCCCUUUUUCUCCCUAAAGCCCCAGUAGAUAGCUGUAUGUCGUAGUUGCACAUGCUUCCAGUUGCUGUAUGUGGGACGCGGCCUCAGCAUGGCCGGAGAAGCAGUGAGUCGGUGUGCGCCCGGGAUCCAAACCUGGGCCACCAGCAGCGGAACUCGAGCACUUAACCGCUAAGCCACGGGGUCGGCCCCCCAACAGGACUUUUUAAAUGUCACACCUUUCAAAUCAUCUGCACCUUUCUCUAACAAAACAGCAAUAACAAUAGCAAGAAGAAAAAGCAGCUCUGUGUUUAUUGAUGGACACGGCUCGAGUGCUCUCCAUGAGGUCCUUCGUUUAGUGCUCACGAGCGCCGGUGCAGGGAGCAUCGCUCUUCUGGUUUCCCAGAGCAGGACGCGGAGGUGGAGGGAGGCCUCACGGCUGUGUGUUGGGAGCAGGGAUUGGAACGAAGGGGACUGACUCCAGAGCCCUGUCUGUGAGAGUAAUUGCCUCACGUUGCUAAAACAAGGGUGGGAUGUUGGAAUUAUACUACAGUGGAAUUCCACCUUAAUUCUUUCUGGUUUCAUAAAUAUUAAAUAGUUUCAUGGUGCCCAAGUUCUGUGCUAGAGAACUAGUAUUAGUUUAAUUUCAGCAGUGAGGGGUACGCCACAGUGUUGCCAUAGCUGUACUUAAUGUCAGCGCGUUUCUGAGGUUACACAUCCAUUCCCCAAGUUGAAAACAUCUUUCCAUAUAGAUUUAUUCUCAAUGUCUUAAAUAAGGAAAGUGAAAGAUUAAUCAAACCUGUGCUCUGUAAGAGAUUUUUGAUAUUUGUUGACAAGAUCAGUACCAGUUAUGUGUGGCUGUUUGGUGCAGACCUGACACUUCAUUCCUCCUAAGUGGCGUGGUGGAGGAGUGGC